This is a non-coding RNA of Schistocerca gregaria, 73 nucleotides long. The record is from the annotation of a RefSeq genome assembly. NCBI's taxonomy places the organism in Eukaryota, Metazoa, Arthropoda, Insecta, Orthoptera, Acrididae.
GCGAAUAUAACUUAAUUGGUAGAGUGUUGUAUUGUGAAUGCAAGAGUUGUAGGUUCGAGUCCUAUUAUUCGCC